GUUUCUUUUGUGUAAAAUGAUAUAAAAGCCAGCCAUAUUGCAUUGAUUGAUUCAUUCUGUAAUUAACUUUGAGACAUGUAAGGUGAAACUCUGCUCGAAUAAAUACCGCUCAAUGUAUAAUUAUUCAAGACUUUUACUAUUCUCUAACAGUUUCUUACAAAAUUACU
Long non-coding RNA from Aricia agestis (brown argus), 167 nucleotides. RefSeq lists it as uncharacterized. Lineage: Eukaryota; Metazoa; Arthropoda; Insecta; Lepidoptera; Lycaenidae. The record is from RefSeq and is a predicted model, not a curated record. The transcript has 3 exons.